RNAcentral lists this long non-coding RNA (952 nucleotides) under Homo sapiens (human). Its description in RNAcentral is "ARHGAP29 antisense RNA 1". The record is from RNAcentral. Lineage: Eukaryota; Metazoa; Chordata; Mammalia; Primates; Hominidae.
GCUCGCGCGCAGAACGCGGCGGUCAGCUGCGCCCGGCCUGAAGUUGUCCCAACCGCGGCCGCGUCGGUCGCCCUUUUGACUUGCAGCAGGGCGGGCAGAGCGACUUAGAGGAAAAGUGACUUUUUGUACCCUCCUGCAGGGAGCAGGUUCUCUGUCCUUGUUUAAUUAGACAUUUCUCAGAGAAUCCUGCCUCUGCUCUGAAGCCUUUCUGUUCGCUCCAGUGAAAAUUAGUCAUCCACCGGGCGCGGUGGCUCACGCCUGCAAUCCCAGCACUUUGGGAGGCCGAGGUCUGGGCUUGAUGUUCACCGAUUUUCCCUCAGCUCCGACUGUGGCUCCUCUCAGCUGACUCUGACCCUGCUCUCAGCCGGGCUGCAUCUGCCCAUCUCAGCACAUCAAUAAACAGCAGAGGGAAACUACCACCUUGGAAGGAGCCAGGCAGUUUCUGCUGGGUAGGCCGCAGCCUGGAACAUGGAAGUAGCUUCUUCCAUCCUACACUGGAAACCACCCAGCAUCCCGGGCCCUCCAGAGAAGAGCCAGACUCCCUUCCCUGGGAAGAGACUAUAGUCCUAUCUAGCUUUUCCUUACUUCAGUAUUGCAUGAUAAUUCUCAAGCCUGUUCUUUACAUAAAUACAAAAAGGAGAAAGUGAAAUAGUAGAGGAACCGACCGAUUUGAAGGAGCUGCCACUAUUUGAUUCCUCCUGUUAGGACAUCUGAAUGACCCCAAGUUCCUGUUCUUGAGGCUGUUGUAUCAUAUUCUUAAAAGCUAUGCAUGCAUUCUGCUUUGAAUGUGUCCCUCAGCCUCAUUCUUCUCCACUUGCUGGGGGCCAUCCCGCCCCACGGGAAGGUAAGUUCAGGCUCAGAAGGAAAGACACGACAAAAAAAUCUUGCUUUUAUUUUUGUUGUCUAAAAUCAUGUUUCAUGCUCUUCUUUGAAUAAAAUCCAGGACUCCAGA